GAUGAACGCUGGCGGCGUGCCUAAUACAUGCAAGUCGAGCGAACGGACGAGAAGCUUGCUUUUCUGAUGUUAGCGGCGGACGGGUGAGUAACACGUGGAUAACCUACCUAUAAGACUGGGAUAACUUCGGGAAACCGGAGCUAAUACCGGAUAAUAUUUUGAACCGCAUGGUUCAAAAGUGAAAGACGGUCUUGCUGUCACUUAUAGAUGGAUCCGCGCUGCAUUAGCUAGUUGGUAAGGUAACGGCUUACCAAGGCAACGAUGCAUAGCCGACCUGAGAGGGUGAACGGCCACACUGGACCUGAGACACGGUCCAGACUCCUACGGGAGGCAGCAGUAGGGAAUCUUCCGCAAUGGGCGAAAGCCUGACGGAGCAAAGCCGCGUGAGUGAUGAAGGUCUUCGGAUCGUAAAACUCUGUUAUUAGGGAAGAACAUAUGUGUAAGUAACUGUGCACAUCUUGACGGUACCUAAUCAGAAAGCCACGGCUAACUACGUG
This 497-nucleotide ribosomal RNA is filed under the name uncultured bacterium. RNAcentral's name for it is "partial 16S ribosomal RNA". It matches the Rfam family "Bacterial small subunit ribosomal RNA", at positions 28 to 507 of the family's 1533-position model. The record is from RNAcentral.